RNAcentral lists this non-coding RNA (167 nucleotides) under uncultured Dysosmobacter sp. Its description in RNAcentral is "Lysine riboswitch". It matches the Rfam family "Lysine riboswitch aptamer". Rfam says of the family: Riboswitches are metabolite binding domains within certain messenger RNAs that serve as precision sensors for their corresponding targets. Allosteric rearrangement of mRNA structure is mediated by ligand binding, and this results in modulation of gene expression. The record is from RNAcentral. Lineage: Bacteria; Bacillati; Bacillota; Clostridia; Eubacteriales; Oscillospiraceae.
UGAUAGAGGCGCGAAUGUCAUGAGUCAUCCACCCUUUCAGGACAGGCACCGGGGUGGGUAAAAGGGACAUUUGCCGAGGUUUCGUGUAUUCGCCUGUGGGACACGGAGCCGGGCCGUGGGAGAAUAUCCCCCGGACUGUCGCCCUGAAAGGGGCGGAGCGCUGUCGU